GUGCUUGCUUCGGCAGGCAGCACAUAUACUAAAAUUGGAACGAUACAGAGAAGAUUAGCAUAGACCCUACGAAAGGAUGACAUGCAAAUUCGUGAAGUGUUCCAUAUUAAA
This 111-nucleotide small nuclear RNA is filed under the name Jaculus jaculus (lesser Egyptian jerboa). Lineage: Eukaryota; Metazoa; Chordata; Mammalia; Rodentia; Dipodidae. The record is from RNAcentral.